This 2644-nucleotide long non-coding RNA is filed under the name Equus caballus (horse). Its description in RNAcentral is "lncRNA (ENSECAG00000049195.1)". Lineage: Eukaryota; Metazoa; Chordata; Mammalia; Perissodactyla; Equidae. The record is from RNAcentral.
CUUCUGACGACAAGAUGGUUCUAUUUCUGUGCCUCCAGUGGGUCUUGUCACUGCAUUGUGACCUAACAGAUGUGUGGUGGCACCUCAGUGUGACCUAAUGGACGUGUGGUGACAUCUCAAUGUGGCUUUAAUCUGCGUGUCCUUCAUGACCCAUGAUGGCGAGCAUCCUUCCAUGGGCUUGCUGGCCACCUGUUUACCUUCACUUUUGAAAUGUCUCUGGUCUUGGUAAAUGUUCCCUGAACCCUUGAAAAUGCUGUGUCUUCUGCAGUUUUUGGAUGAAACGCUCUGCGAUGUUAGUGAGGUCCAGUGGGCCAACAGUGUUCUAAAUCUUCUCCAUCCUUUCUGGCUUUCGUCUCCUGGUCCUGCCGGGUGCUGAGAGAGCAUCUUGUCCUGAUGUCUCAUCGUGAAUAAGUCUAUCAGAUCUCCUCUUGGGGGUGAGGCUGGGUGGAGACGGCAGAUCUGCACGGUGGAGAAAAGAGAAGAAGGCCAGCACAGUGGCAUUGAGGAAUCCAGGGAGCUCCUGGCCAACUUGGCCUGAGUCUUGCAUUUCAGAUGAAAAAAGGAAAACUGUGCAAGAGAGCUUUCAAGGAUUAAUGGAGUUCUGUCAAAAAGACAACAGGCCAAUUUGAAAAAGGUCCCACUGGUCAAAUCUGUGACACUUUGAGCAUCAAAAAGAAUGUUGCUCAGGGUUGACUGACUACAUCUGACCUGUGUAAAUCCACUAUUCCAUAAUCGCUCUCACACGAGAGAAAGUUGGACAUUAAACCAGCUCUUCCUGUUGAAUAUUGUUGGCCAAAGGAAACAUUUAAGCAUUAUCCUGCUUCCUGCUUCCUGCUAGGCACCGAAUGUCGGCAGAACCAGGGCACUCUGGUUGUGAGGAAAGACCCACUUUAAAAAGGAAUGUUGGCUGAUAAUGAGGGAGGAGUGACAGCAUUAGAAAACCAUCCUUGUCAAUCCCUGUUGAGAAGAUUGAUGAGGCCAAGGAUAGAAUCUGUGUUGAGACGCUCAGAUGAGGGCCUGUGGGGACCCGGAUACUCGUCUGGUUUCAGAGAGAGAGGGAGGCCGGUGGAUCUGCACAGACAUCACACCCGGCCUCACGGCGGAGCCCACGUGCGGGUCCUCUGUGAGAGGUGGCCCAGCCCAGUGUCCAUCUUGAACAUGUCCAGCCUUCAGAGUGAAUUUCCAUUCUUAAGGAACGAGAGAGGAUAGAGGAGCAAACACAGCACAAGGCAGCACCCCCAGGUCAGAAGCGGGGCAUCCGCGGGACAGCAGUCUCCUCGAGUCAGUCCGGGACGUCACCAGGUUCCCUGCAUGGUCUUGUUCGGACAAACCUGUUGUCACAGGAACUUUUGGGCAACUGGGGACCUUUGAAGAUGGACUCAAUCUUGGCUGAUGUGAAGGAAUCUUUACGUAUUGUCAAGUAUGGUAAUUUAAUUUUGGCUAGGCAGGGAAAGGCUCUCAUUUUGAAAAGACGCACUGAAAAAAAGGAGACAGGACACAGCCGGCGAUGUCUAGGGACGCUGUCCACAUUUAAGCUGCUCUGUUCUUGAUUGAGUUUUCCUUUCUGCACCUUGGAGUGGAACUCAGACCCCAACACCAGACAGGCCUCCGCAGGGAGCAGCGGGUGCCGCCAGCUCUGCUCUCCCGCGAACUGUCAUGGGUACCGCCCGCGAUGACCCGCGUUGCCCGCGGCUUGCGCUGCAGAGAGCCAUAGGCCGGCACCUCGGGACGUGAGCCGGCUGCCCUGCUUUUCCCCGCCACAGCUCCCCAGGCCCUCUUCUGUAACUCCCAAGUCCAAAUUGUCCUGAAAACUGGAAGCCUUUUUUGUAGCUCCCUUGGCAGCAAGACCUUCUCAUGUCCCAGCGGGAGGAACCUCCCAUGCGUUUUCCCAGCAGAAACACUGGGAUGCCUGAUGACAGGUGUUAGGGAACUUCCGGGAUGUGCUCUGUGGUACCUUCCAGAAGUGGAGAUAUUCUGAGUCCCAAGUACAUCUGAAUAAGGGGUUGUGGUCCUCUGUUCUUCUUACUGAUGAGGAAACCAAGGCACAGCGGGCUGAGGAGAGGCCCCGGCCACGCAGCCCUGAGUGGUCAUCUGGGCAGUUUGCCUCCAGGGUGUGUUGUCCUAACUUCCCAACACUGUCUCAGUUAUGAAAAACAAGGAGCCACAACUUCAGAGUUACUUUUAAUAUUCAGAGGUAUAUCGUUCUAGUCAACCAUAUUCAAUUUGCCAAAAUUUGGUGCGAGGUAUGGAAAACCAUUCAACCAUUUAGCAGGACAGAAACGAACCAGCAAGCUGGCAUCAUCCUGUUGUUUGAAAAUAAACGUCAGAUCUGAGCAGCAAGACUGUUGUAGAGAAGCGUCAGCAAGCUCAGUAGAUGGAUCACAGGUACCCGUAAUCUCAGUCCGGCAAGGCGCCUGUUGAUGCAAAUAAUCCAUAACCAGUCUAUAAAUCAAAAUUGGGGGGAGUGGAUUAUAAGCCAGACCUGAGCACCAUACAGCUGGCAGACUUCUUCCACAAAGGAACGGAGCGCUCCACAGAGGUGGGGGCGUAUAGGGUGGUUAUAUACCCUCAAAGAGGAUGUGUCACAUAUGAUUGGAAUGUCCCUUUCACAACAGUCAUGAGGUUGCCCUGUCAGCACAGCGAU